CACGUAUUUAGCCGUCACUUCUUCUGUUGGUACCGUCAUUUUUUCUUCCCAACUGAAAGCACUUUACAUUCCGAAAAACUUCAUCGUGCACACAGAAUUGCUGGAUCAGACUCUUGGUCCAUUGUCCAAUAUUCCCCACUGCUGCCUCCCGUAGGAGUAAGGGCCGUGUCUCAGUCCCCUUGUGGCCGAUCACCCUCUCAGGCCGGCUACCCAUCAUCGCCUUGGUGAGCCGUUACCUCUCCAACUAGCUAAUGGGACGCAAAGCUCUCUCACAGCGCAUAUAGCUUUCAUAAUUCUAGGAUGCCCUAAAAUCAUAAUAUCAGGUAUUAGCAUUCGUUUCCAAAUGUUGUCCCUAUCUGUGAGGCAAGUUCUUUACGCGUUACUCACCCGUCCGCCACCCAAACCGAAGUUCAAGUUGACUUGCAUGUGUUAAGCAUUCUGUCAGCGUUCAUCCUGAGCCAGGAUCAAACUCU
This 473-nucleotide ribosomal RNA is filed under the name uncultured Fusobacterium sp. RNAcentral's name for it is "partial 16S ribosomal RNA". Lineage: Bacteria; Fusobacteriati; Fusobacteriota; Fusobacteriia; Fusobacteriales; Fusobacteriaceae. The record is from RNAcentral.